UUAUUCUUUCCAGCGAAUUUUGCAUUGGACUCAUGGGGGAGAAUUCAGCCUCCCUUCAUCCCUUUUCAGGGAUUCAUCCAUGAUUCAACAACACAAGGCAAGAAGUGCCUGAGGUCUCCAGAGUUUUCUUCCAGCAGAUGUUGUAAGUUUUUUGGACUGGCAUACUGUCACUGCCUGUUUGGCUCUCAACCAGCAACUUCUCCUGGGAUGGUUCUAGUGUUACUUCUACUAGACACAGAACAGAAAAAUGAAGAGUGGAUUUGCCCUUGAUGAAACUAUCUUUGACUGCCAAUGACUCAACAUGGACAUUUCCACAGAAACAUUGCUUUUACUGUAUUCUCAAAGACAUGAAAAGCACUUAUGAGGCACAUCUGCAGCCUUUGUAAGCCUGGGAUCUACUGAUAGACAAGAGAGGGACCUAUAUUAUUUGAGGGUCUGUAAUAAUUCCUAGAAAAAAAAUCUGCUCUUGAGAAGUCUAAGAAUAUAGUUACACCUCUAUAACCAUCACUGACAAGAGUGGCCCCAGGCCUCUGCAGAGGGAUCCUGUUCUGUUCUCAUCUGUGGCAAUGGAAAUGAUCAAGAGGAGAGCCAUCUUCCAGGAAAGCUGUCACUCAGGCUGUGGUCCUUGAAUGAAUGGUGGUGAGUGUGCUGGACCUCUACCUUAAACCCGUGUAUACAUUCACUUACUCUGCUGUGGCUUGUGCAACUCAGCCUGGGUUCAGAACUGAAAAGGAGGUUUUAUUUGCACUGAAAGCAGAGAGAUCAUCUCCCAUGUAAGUCUCAGAAUCAUAAUGCUAACCUAUAACUUACUUACACACAGUUCUGCUGGGGUGAAAGUUGAGGGCAAUUAAUUCAUUGUAUCCAGCCUUCACCUGUGGGUGCCAGCUGUUUGGAGAAAGGAUGGGAAAUGCCUAAUAUGCUUUGACAGCUCACUCUUUGUGCUGCGAUUCCAGCUAUUCCAGGAUGAAGCUUCCCUGUUAGAAUGGCCAGUCAAUCUCUCCACACGAUGGAAAACAGAUGUAAGAUUAGGAUGCAAAGUAGUUUUCCAGACUCUUGGUCCCAGUGUGCUGCACAGCCCAGCCCCAGAGUUAAGCAGCCAAGUGCUGACACAUGUCUUAUAGCAAAAUAUCCCUCACAGCCACAGUUCAAAGGCCUCGCUACCCUCCAGGGCAAUUAAUACAGCAUCACGUUCAAUGGUGCUUGAACCAAAUCCAUGGAAUCCUCAAGGGAGAAAUAACGGAGCAAUCACAGCUCUCAGACAAGAACAGCGUGCAGUAGUGGCUAGAGUUUCAGUCCCCCCAAAAUGUAGCUUUUUCCUGAAAGCACGUGUAAGGUUACAGACUUACUCGAAAGGAGCUUUGCUCAGAUUGGAUAAUCCACUUGUAAGGUAGUUCUUUCAAGAGAGCGUAAAAAGUGAGGCAUAGUAACUGAAAAAUAAAGAAAAAGAAAAGCAAGG
Erinaceus europaeus (western European hedgehog) is the source of this 1456-nucleotide long non-coding RNA. RefSeq lists it as uncharacterized. The transcript is spliced from 4 exons. Lineage: Eukaryota; Metazoa; Chordata; Mammalia; Eulipotyphla; Erinaceidae. The record is from RefSeq and is a predicted model, not a curated record.